GUACACUCCUGCGGGAGGCAGCAGUGGGGAAUUUUGGACAAUGGGCGAAAGCCUGAUCCAGCAAUGCCGCGUGAGUGAAGAAGGCCUUCGGGUUGUAAAGCUCUUUUGUCAGGGAAGAAACGGUGAAAGCUAAUAUCUUUUGCUAAUGACGGUACCUGAAGAAUAAGCCCCGGCUAACUACGUGCCAGCAGCCGCGGUAAUACGUAGGGUGCAAGCGUUAAUCGGAAUUACUGGGCGUAAAGCGUGCGCAGGCGGUUUUGUAAGUCUGAUGUGAAAUCCCCGGGCUCAACCUGGGAAUUGCAUUGGAGACUGCAAGGCUAGAAUCUGGAAGAGGGGGGUAGAAUUCCACGUGUAGCAGUGAAAUGCGUAGAUAUGUGGAGGAACACCGAUGGCGAAGGCAGCCCCCUGGGUCAAGAUUGACGCUCAUGCACGAAAGCGUGGGGAGCAAACAGGAUUAGAUACCCUGGUAGUCCCA
Molecule: ribosomal RNA, 475 nt
Filed under: uncultured organism
Description: partial 16S ribosomal RNA
Rfam family: Bacterial small subunit ribosomal RNA
Source: RNAcentral